GAUGAACGCUGGCGGCGUGCCUAAUACAUGCAAGUCGAGCGAACGGACGAGAAGCUUGCUUCUCUGAUGUUAGCGGCGGACGGGUGAGUAACACGUGGAUAACCUACCUAUAAGACUGGGAUAACUUCGGGAAACCGGAGCUAAUACCGGAUGAUAUUUUGAACCGCAUGGUUCAAAAGUGAAAGACGGUCUUGCUGUCACUUAUAGAUGGAUCCGCGCUGCAUUAGCUAGUUGGUAAGGUAACGGCUUACCAAGGCAACGAUGCAUAGCCGACCUGAGAGAGUGAUCGGCCACACUGGAACUGAGACGCGGUCCAGACUCCUGCGGGAGGCAGCAGUAGGGAAUCUUCCGCAAUAGGCGAAAGCCUGACGGAGCAACGCCGCGUGAGUGAUGAAGGUCUUCGGAUCGUAAAACUCUGUUAUUAGGGAAGAACAUAUGUGUAAGUAACUGUGCACAUCUUGACGGUACCUAAUCAGAAAGCCACGGCUAACUACGUG
RNAcentral lists this ribosomal RNA (497 nucleotides) under uncultured bacterium. RNAcentral describes it as "partial 16S ribosomal RNA". It matches the Rfam family "Bacterial small subunit ribosomal RNA", at positions 28 to 507 of the family's 1533-position model. The record is from RNAcentral.